GGGCACGUGGCCUAGCCCGGAUAUGGCGGCAGCCUCCUAAGCUGUAGGUCGAGGGUUCAAUUCCCUCCGUGCCCG
Molecule: transfer RNA, 75 nt
Filed under: Candidatus Methanoperedentaceae archaeon HGW-Methanoperedenaceae-1
Lineage: Archaea; Methanobacteriati; Methanobacteriota; Methanomicrobia; Methanosarcinales; Candidatus Methanoperedentaceae
Also listed under: 2 other names
Description: Candidatus Methanoperedenaceae archaeon HGW-Methanoperedenaceae-1 tRNA-Arg
Rfam family: tRNA
About the family: Transfer RNA (tRNA) molecules are approximately 80 nucleotides in length. Their secondary structure includes four short double-helical elements and three loops (D, anti-codon, and T loops).
Source: RNAcentral